AUUGUAGUCCCUCCGUCCCAAAAUUAUUGUCUUAGAUUUGUUUAAAUAUGAAUGUAUCUAGUCACAUUUUAGUAUUUAGAUACAUCCAUUUCUAUACAAAUCUAAGACAAGAAUUUUGGGACGGAAGGAGUACAUU
Hordeum vulgare subsp. vulgare (domesticated barley) is the source of this 136-nucleotide non-coding RNA. The record is from Rfam. NCBI's taxonomy places the organism in Eukaryota, Viridiplantae, Streptophyta, Magnoliopsida, Poales, Poaceae.